GUCCAGGGAGAAGCUGCAGUGUGGCGGAGCACUGCUGGGCAGCAUUGUGCCGGAAGGGUGUCCGGGAGAACUGGUGCACGCCGCAGAAUCCAGGGGUCAGGAAGGCAGAGCUGGUUUGCAGAAAGCAAGACUGGACACAAAGAAAACUCCAAAUAAACAGUGGUGGUGCAGAGGACAUGGUGACUUUGAAAGGUAGCAGGACAUGCAGCAAGCAGCUGGGAGCAGAGGGCUGGAGCUCAGAAGAGAUGACCACAGAAGGAAGACCUCUGGAGCUCUGCUGCUCACCUACAGACACCCAAGGAUGACAGUGGAAUCUCUCAUUCUCACUAUAAAGGUCUGAUGGGCUGCGGCUGUGCUAUGUUGCAGUCAAGGAAGGAGAAAGAUGAUUGGUUCAACUCAGCUAGUGUUUCUCGACACAGCCAAAGUGAGCACUUACAGACUUCCCUCCCUUUUUCAGAAGGAAUCCUGUUGCAGCGGCCUUGUGACCUACAGAUCUUUACCUCCCUCCACUCUCUUGCUCCCACGUCUCAGUGGUCCCCUGGUCCCUGGCCUAAAGACCCUCACCAGCCUUGAACCUCAUCCCCUGCACUGGCUCCUUAAACUCAGCCACAGCCCCCAUUCCCAUUCUGAAAAUAUCACACUCCCAACUUCCCUCAAGUUUCUGCCUCAGGGCCCUUGCCUAUCCUGUUUCCUCAGCCCCAGAGAAUCUCUUCCCAGCUCUCUGCUGGCUCCCCUUCCCCAUCCUGCUCAGAAAGACAACCUUUGGAAGUCCCAUUUGUCCCAGCUAUUCCCCUGCUCGGUAUCUUCCCCAAAGAAUUAAAAGAAUCAUACCACAGUGAGAUAUGUGCACCCAUGUUCAUAGGAGCACAGUUUGUGAUAGCUAAAGCUUGGAAACAGCCCAAGUGCCCAUCAACUGGAGACUGGAUAAAGAAAAUGUGUUUUUUUAAUAAAAUGGAGUACUACUCAGCCAUAAAAAAUGAGAAAGUAGAGACAUUUAUAGCUAA
RNAcentral lists this long non-coding RNA (1004 nucleotides) under Heterocephalus glaber (naked mole-rat). RNAcentral describes it as "lncRNA (ENSHGLG00000044892.1)". Lineage: Eukaryota; Metazoa; Chordata; Mammalia; Rodentia; Bathyergidae. The record is from RNAcentral.